This 253-nucleotide ribosomal RNA is filed under the name uncultured bacterium. Its description in RNAcentral is "partial 16S ribosomal RNA". It matches the Rfam family "Bacterial small subunit ribosomal RNA", at positions 524 to 776 of the family's 1533-position model. The record is from RNAcentral.
UAAGAAGGGGGCUAGCGUUGCUCGGAAUCACUGGGCGUAAAGGGUGCGUAGGCGGGUCUUUAAGUCAGGGGUGAAAUCCUGGAGCUCAACUCCAGAACUGCCUUUGAUACUGAAGAUCUUGAGUUCGGGAGAGGUGAGUGGAACUGCGAGUGUAGAGGUGAAAUUCGUAGAUAUCUGGAGGAACACCAGUGGCGAAGGCGGCAUCCUGGACUGGUAUUGACGCUGAGGUGCGAAAGCGUGGGGAGCAAACAGG